This 2210-nucleotide unclassified non-coding RNA is filed under the name Camponotus floridanus (Florida carpenter ant). RNAcentral describes it as "x-ray repair cross-complementing protein 5, transcript variant X1". Lineage: Eukaryota; Metazoa; Arthropoda; Insecta; Hymenoptera; Formicidae. The record is from RNAcentral.
UCUAAAUUGAAUACAGAGGCGCUGUCGAGCAUUUAACGUCUAUGAAUUCCCGUUAUCUUUUUUUAUUAUAGAUAAAAAACAAUUAUUUUUAUUAUCAAAAAGAAGCCUUCUAUUACGAAUCAAGGGGAAGCAAGUGUGUGAAUUUAAAAUAAUAUUCAGAAAAAAAUAUGCCGCCGAAGAAAUUAAAGGAAAGUAUAAUUUUUCUUGUAAAGAUUGGGAUUGUCCGUCAUGGUACUCAAAGUAAUUCAAUGUUGCUAGAUAAAGCAAAGUUUAUUUUAAAACACAUUAUCCAAAGGAAGAUAUUUCUAUGUCCAAAAGAUGAAAUAGGAGUAAUAUUAAUGGGAUGUGAUAAUAGUAAAAGCAACAGUAUUACAGAAUUAGAGAACAUUCAAGAAUUGUGUCGUGUGCAAGUUGGAAAUUGGAAUUUGAUAGAAAGCAUUGAGAAAUUACAAACUACCAAUCAGAAUUAUUCUUGGAUGGAAGCAAUUUAUGCUGCAAUUGAGUAUAUCAAUCAUGAAUGUGUAGACAAAUCUGAAAGGAAAAUAAUCUUGUUGUCUGAUUUCAAUGAGGAAGAGGAUGUUGUAAGUCAAUUCCAAAUGGAUGAUAUUGCAAAGACAUUAAGUUCAGAGGAAAUUUCACUCAUAGCAAUUGGAGAAAGAGAUCUAGAUAAUAUAGAUAAAGAUUCUCAAACAGCCAGUGAAGGUUUACUUAUGAGUGUUUUGCGAGAGAUUGGUGGUCAAUAUCUCACUUUUGAGCGUGCUAUGUCAGAUGUACGUUUUUAUAAACGACCGUCAACUAAACCGAUGCCAUGGUAUUGUCAAAUGGAAUUGGGCAACUUUCAUAUACCGAUUGCUGCAAUUUCUAAAAUCCCAACAGAAGUGAAAUUACCAAAAAUGAUAUUGAUGGGUAAAACGAGUACACCCGAUAUGCCAGAGCAAGAAGUGCCAAUUAAGAAUAUUGCACAAUGGACGGAUAAUAAUAGGACUAUUCACACAGAAGAAGAUAUUAUCCGUGGUUAUGUGUAUGGUGGCAAAUCUAUUCCAGUUUCAGAUGAAACUGAGAAAACAAUGACUCCUAAAACUAACGAAAAAUGUUAUAAAAUACAUGGUUUCACUGCAAAAGAAAACAUUCCUAUGGAAUACUGGUUGUCGGAUGGCACGUACGUUAUUGUACCAGCUAAUGAGUCAGUAAGUGCACCAUUUUAUAGUUUGGUACAAGCCAUGGUUGACAAGAAUGUAGUUGCUAUAGUAGAGAAGGUUUACAGAGCAAAUACUGAAGCUAACAUGGUCGCACUAUUUCCAAGUAUUGAUGUACCCAAUGAACCUUGGUGUCUUAUUGAAAUCGGCUUGCCAUUCGAGCGAGAUUACGGUGCGAUAGCGCAGAGACCCUUAAAAUUCGUGAUGAAGCAGUUGUCAAAGGAGCAAAAUGAUGCUAUUGAUGACUUGUUAACAUCUCUAGAAUUGCCUGAGGCUGUUGAUGAUGAUGCAAUUGAUAUCAAUGAAAAGUAUUUACCGGGAUAUAUGCCGGACCCCGGAACGCAACAUAUGUGGGAUAUGUUAGCAGCUCGCGCGCUUAAGCCAGACAAACCGUUGCCACCUAUUGCCGACGAUGUGAAAAAUCUUUUAGAGCAACCCGAGUUUAUGAAAGAAAAAUGCAAACCAGUUACAGAAAGGAUAAAAAAUUUGUUUUCCUUAGAGAAGAAGCAGUCUCCUAAUACUAGGAAGCGCAGAAAAUCGAAAGAAAAAGAUAAUGAACAAUCUGAUAACGGUGAUGUGUUCAUGCAAUCGGUCAAAACAGAUGAAAGAGAUAUUACAAAAGAUAAUAAUGAUAAAUCGGACAAUACGAUUUCUAUACUUAAUGCAUGCAAUGUUGAUUUUGAUGAAAUUAAUAAUAGUUUUUAAUUUUCGCUAUCUUGUCAAAGUGCCAAAAAUAACGAUGACGUUACCGCUGAAUAAGGAAAAGAUGAAGCUCUCUGCCCACAUACCACCUACCUUUUUCCCAUCCUCGAUUUACCGAAAAUUCAUUGACAUCUAAACAUUAUGCCAUGUUUGAGUAGCAAUACAUUUGCAGAUCGGUUUCUGCAAUAUAUACCGCCUUCAUCUAUUUAACUCUUCAAUUAUUUCAUCGACUUGAAUAUUCGCGAAGAUGACGCUUGGCGAUUCAUCCUACAUCUAUAAAAGGAAAGACAUUGUCAGUUGCUUAUGAAACGC